Molecule: ribosomal RNA, 497 nt
Filed under: uncultured bacterium
Lineage: Bacteria
Description: partial 16S ribosomal RNA
Rfam family: Bacterial small subunit ribosomal RNA
Source: RNAcentral
GAUGAACGCUGGCGGCGUGCCUAAUACAUGCAAGUCGAGCGAACAGACGAGGAGCUUGCUCCUCUGACGUUAGCGGCGGACGGGUGAGUAACACGUGGAUAACCUACCUAUAAGACUGGGAUAACUUCGGGAAACCGGAGCUAAUACCGGAUAAUAUAUUGAACCGCAUGGUUCAAUAGUGAAAGACGGUUUUGCUGGCACUUAUAGAUGGAUCCGCGCCGCAUUAGCUAGUUGUUAAGGUAACGGCUUACCAAGGCAACGAGGCGUAGCCGACCUGAGAGGCGGAUAGGCGACAUUAGAGCUGGGACGGGGUCAAGACUCCUACGGGAGGCAGCAGUAGGGAAUCUGCCGCAAUGGGGGAAAGCCUGACGGAGCAAGGCCGCGUGAGUGAUGACGGUCUUCGGAUCGUAAAACUCUGUUAUUAGGGAAGAACAAAUGUGUAAGUAACUAUGCCCGUCUUGACGGUACCUAAUCAGAAAGCCACGGCUAACUACGUG